This is a long non-coding RNA of Passer montanus (Eurasian tree sparrow), 792 nucleotides long. RefSeq lists it as uncharacterized. NCBI's taxonomy places the organism in Eukaryota, Metazoa, Chordata, Aves, Passeriformes, Passeridae. The record is from RefSeq and is a predicted model, not a curated record. The transcript has 5 exons.
CUGGAGGGGACACAGAAGGCAAGUCAAAACCCAGAAGGUUCACACAGCAAAACUAGUCUACAAGGACUAGUUUGAACUACUCUCACCAGCUAAGACAACACUUCUUCUCUAUAAGGUUCCUGUCUUGCAGGCCACAAGACAAAAAUUUAGAACAAGGAGUGUGAAGAAAACAGCUGAGGUGGAAAAGGGAUAUUUAGAGUCCACACUGGCCAGCAGGAAAGGCAGCUCACUUGUCAACAGGUUCACUUGUGCAUGGAGGUAGCAAAUGGAUAUAAAAUGUCCCCGUGCAGCCCAAGUGGCAUCACCAGGAGCAAGUGAGAGUCCCUGAAAAAGCAGGAGAGGAUCAAGUAGCGACGAUACCUAAGGAGCUACACUUCAGGCCAACUGACAAGGACACAGCUGAGAUGAUCUUCAGGUGCCAGAGUUGUUUCCAAACCUGGAGCCAGACAGAAUUCCUCUGGACAUGUCUUGAACCUCAGGGACAGCACAGCUUGGCCACACCCUCAAAAUGAGACUCAUCCCAGUGUGGAGAUUGCCCAAAGACACUCCAAGACAUGUGAGCAUGUCAUUUACAAUGCAAUUGAAACAUUAACCCACCACACAGGCUCUCUGCACGCUUCCUCAUCUAGUUGUUUACAAUUGUUUUUAGGGUCCUUCACAUGGUGAACUUCUUCCCUGAAUAAUUCCCUGAAUUCCCUGAACUUCUUCUACCCACUAAGUGGAAGGAAGGCAGUGGGAGGGUUCUCUUGCCUUCCCUUCUUGAAUGGGUUCCCUGCACACACACACACACAC